AGGAUCAUUAUCAAAACAGCGGACUUCGGUCUUUGCUGCACCCUUGUCUUUUGCGCACCGAAUUGUUUCCUCGGCGGGCUUGCCUGCCGGUUGGACAUUAUCAAAACCUUUUUGUAGUUGCAAUCAGCGUCAGAAAAAUCAUAAUUAUUACAACUUUCAACAACGGAUCUCUUGGUUCUGGCAUCGAUGAAGAACGCAGCGAAAUGCGAAAAGUAGUGUGAAUUGCAGAAUUCAGUGAAUCAUCGAAUCUUUGAACGCACAUUGCGCCCCUUGGUAUUCCAUGGGGCAUGCCUGUUCGAGCGUCAUUUUGUACCCUCAAGCACUGCUUGGUGUUGGGCGUUUGUCCUGCAGAGGACUCGCCUGAAAGCGAUUGGCGGCCAACGUAGUCGUGGCAGAGCGCAGCACAAUCUCGCGUCUCUCCCCUCUGCGUCGGCGUCCAUGAAGCCCACAAUCUCAACGUUUGACCUCGGAUCAGGUAGGGAUACCCGCUGAACUUAAGCAUAUCAAUAAGCGGAGGAAAAGAAACCAACAGGGAUUGCCCC
This 542-nucleotide ribosomal RNA is filed under the name Pyrenochaetopsis decipiens. RNAcentral's name for it is "eukaryotic LSU rRNA". The stretch from base 152 to 305 matches the Rfam family "5.8S ribosomal RNA". The record is from RNAcentral. Lineage: Eukaryota; Fungi; Ascomycota; Dothideomycetes; Pleosporales; Pyrenochaetopsidaceae.